Molecule: ribosomal RNA, 834 nt
Filed under: uncultured bacterium
Lineage: Bacteria
Description: bacterial SSU rRNA
Rfam family: Bacterial small subunit ribosomal RNA
Source: RNAcentral
AGAGUUUGAUCCUGGCUCAGAAUCAACGCUGGCGGCGUGCCUAACACAUGCAAGUCGAACGAGAAAGUGGAGCAAUCCAUGAGUAAAGUGGCGCACGGGUGAGUAACACGUGACUAACCUACCUUUUAGUGGGGGAUAACCUAGGGAAACCUGGGCUAAUACCGCAUAAUACUUACGAGUCAAAGCAGCAAUGCGCUGAAAGAGGGGGUCGCGGUCGAUUAGUUAGUUGGCAGGGUAAUGGCCUACCAAGACUGUGAUCGAUAUCCGGCCUGAGAGGGCGCACGGACACACUGGAACUGAAACACGGUCCAGACUCCUACGGGAGGCAGCAGUGGGGAAUUUUGCGCAAUGGGGGAAACCCUGACGCAGCAACGCCGCGUGGAGGAUGAAGUCCCUUGGGACGUAAACUCCUUUCGAUCGGGACGAUAAUGACGGUACCGGAAGAAGAAGCCCCGGCUAACUUCGUGCCAGCAGCCGCGGUAAUACGAGGGGGGCAAGCGUUGUUCGGAAUUAUUGGGCGUAAAGGGUGCGUAGGUGGUUCGGCAAGUCUUGUGUGAAAUCUUCAGGCUCAACUUGAAGUCUGCACAAGAAACUGCCGGGCUUGAGUAUGGGAGAGGUGAGUGGAAUUUCCGGUGUAGCGGUGAAAUGCGUAGAUAUCGGAAGGAACACCUGUGGCGAAAGCGGCUCACUGGACCAUUACUGACACUGAGGCACGAAAGCUAGGGGAGCAAACAGGAUUAGAUACCCUGGUAGUCCUAGCCCUAAACGAUGAUCGCUUGGUGUGGCGGGUAUCCAACCCUGCCGUGCCGUAGCUAACGCGUUAAGCGAUCCGCC